RNAcentral lists this ribosomal RNA (627 nucleotides) under Triticum aestivum (bread wheat). RNAcentral describes it as "partial small subunit ribosomal RNA". Lineage: Eukaryota; Viridiplantae; Streptophyta; Magnoliopsida; Poales; Poaceae. The record is from RNAcentral.
AUGCCGACGACCAUGGCCAAGGCCGCAAGGGCAGGAGCGGCGCCUCUUCGCCAUGACGGCAGCCUUCCGGAGGAGAUUGUCGUCUGGGAGAUCCUAGUUCGCCUCGACCCCAAAUCCCUCCUCCGUUGCCGCACCGUCCGUCGGACAUGGCGCCAUGCCACCUCCACCCGUGCCUUCCUGCUUGCCCACCAUGCCCACCAGCCAGCCCUCCCCAUCGCGUUAGACGAAGAAUACAUCCUCACCGUUGACCGCCUUGCCGCCGCCCAGCUCCACACUGUCGCCCAUCUUGACAAGGCCUUCAAUCCAGAGGCUUCCUGCGAUGGCCUUCUCAUCCUCUCCAGGUGCAACAACAUGACCGACACCAUUGAUUUCUCAGUUUGUAACCUAGCCACUCGUCAAUUUGCUCCCCUUCAACAACUACAUGAACUGGGCUUGCGGUUAUUGGGGAUGUACUCGCAUGAACCUACUGGCGAGUAUCGAUUGCUACUUGAACGCCAUAGCUACAAUGAAACGCCUGAAGACCAACUUGGCUACUAUGUCUUUGCGUUGGGCUCUCACCAGUCGCCGAGGUACAUCGGGUGGCAGGAGUCAACAUCACAAUGCUUUACCUCUCUUGGUAUGCGAUAG